GAUGAACGCUGGCGGCGUGCCUAAUACAUGCAAGUCGAGCGAACGGACGAGAAGCUUGCUUCUCUGAUGUUAGCGGCGGACGGGUGAGUAACACGUGGAUAACCUACCUAUAAGACUGGGAUAACUUCGGGAAACCGGAGCUAAUACCGGAUAAUAUUUUGAACCGCAUGGUUCAAAAGUGAAAGACGGUCUUGCUGUCACUUAUAGAUGGAUCCGCGCUGCAUUAGCUAGUUGGUAAGGUAACGGCUUACCAAGGCAACGAUGCAUAGCCGAACUGAGAGGGUGAUCGGCCACACUGGAACUGGGACACGGUCCAGACUCCUACGGGAGGCAGCAGUAGGGAAUCUUCCGCAAUGGGCGAAAGCCUGACGGAGCAACGCCGCGUGAGUGAUGAAGGUCUUCGGAUCGUAAAACUCUGUUAUUAGGGAAGAACAUAUGUGUAAGUAACUGUGCACAUCUUGACGGUACCUAAUCAGAAAGCCACGGCUAACUACGUG
Molecule: ribosomal RNA, 497 nt
Filed under: uncultured bacterium
Lineage: Bacteria
Description: partial 16S ribosomal RNA
Rfam family: Bacterial small subunit ribosomal RNA
Source: RNAcentral